CCCAGCCCAUUCCCGCGCGCUCCCAGGGCUCUCAGGCUGGAGCAGGGUGUGUGCUGGCAGGGCUGAGCUCUGUCAGAACAUCCCUGUGCAGAUGGUCUGUCUGGCACCCUAUUGUGAGAGCUGAGACCCCAGCAGCCACCGCUAGAAGUGCUCGAGGUUUUUUUCCGAGGCUGUGGAAGGAAUCAGGGGAAGGAAACGUGGUUGUGGGGUUGUUUUUUUUCAUUUCAUCAGGGAUGCUGUAAAAACUCGAGUGACACUUCAUCCCACAGACAGCAGCAGAGAAACCAAGCAACAAUAAAUAUUGAAACAGUAGCACAACCUUGCAGACAGACCUCGUUUUUGCUGUUAAAAAGGAGCUGAAGUGUAAUCUUAGACAUUAGCAGCUAUCGAGCGGAGCUGCAGCGUGAGGGGAUUUGGCAUUUGGAGCUGCUACAAGUGCUCAACUUUCUCCUGCUUUUUUCAGAGGUUCUGGGUAAAAAAAAACAACAACAAAACGUGCUUGGCUUUUCCAGAAGGAAUAGGAAGCUUUUCCCUGGGUUUGGAGGCUGGAGUGUUUGCUGGAAUUACCUGAGCAGCUCAGAGCUGGGUGUGAGGAUGUGCUGAGCUCACUUUUAUUCACAUUUUGUGGCUCUCCUUUGUCCCCCCCAGUGCUCCUUCCUCACCCAAAGCUCCCCCUGUCCCCUCCGAGCCCAGAGGGACAAUUUGUGGCUUUAAAAACGAUCCCCAGGGGUUUUUUUUGUGUUUGCUGUUUGUUCCCAUUCCAAAGGAGAUGGGAUCCGGCCAGGGUUGUUAUAGAAACUCCCAAGAUUUCCUCAAGAGAAAGGGGAAAAAAUAGCAGCGAGCCCCAUUCAUCCCUCGCUGCUGCUCCCCAUUCAGAGCUGCUGGCUGGGACAGAGCUGGGUGGACGGGAAUACAGGGAAUACAGGGAAUAUCGGGAAUACAGGGAAUUCUGGGAAUACAGGGAAUUCUGGGAAUACAGGGAAUACAGGGAAUACAGGGAAUACAGGGAAUAUCGGGGAAUACAGGGAAUACCGGGGAAUAUUGGGGAAAUCAGGGAAUACAGGGAAUACAGGGAAUAUCGGGGAAUUCUGGGAAUACAGGGAAUAUCGGGGAAUAUCGGGAAUACAGGGAAUAUCGGGGAAUACAGGGAAUACAGGGAAUUCUGGGAAAUCAGGGAAUACAGGGAAUUCUGGGAAUACAGGGAAUACAGGGAAUACAGGGAAUANCUGCAGCCAGGGCACAGCUGGAUCUCCAUGGCCAUGGGGAGCUGGGCUGUGUCUGCAGCCAGGGCACAGCUGGAUCUCCUCAGCCAUGGGGAGCUGGAGCUGCUGCUGCUGGCCACGGCAGCCGGGGCUGGGACACGUCCUGCAGGUCCUGGCUGGGAAACAUCCCCCAGGUCCUGGCUGGGGUGGGACACGUCUCCCAGGUCCUGGCUGGGCUGGGACACGUCCCCCAGGUCCUGGCUGGGCUGGGACAUCUCCCCCAGGUCCUGGCUGGGCUGGGACAUCUCCCCCAGGUCCUGGCUGGGCUGGGACAUCUCCC
This 1542-nucleotide long non-coding RNA is filed under the name Parus major (Great Tit). RNAcentral's name for it is "lncRNA (ENSPMJG00000019539.1)". Lineage: Eukaryota; Metazoa; Chordata; Aves; Passeriformes; Paridae. The record is from RNAcentral.